GCCGCCCCUGCCCCAAGGAGGAGCGGCUGGCAGGAUAGGGGGACUGCGGAGGAUCGGCGUGGAAUGGAUGCGACGGUGCCAGUAAACAGGCGCCGAGGAAAGGUGAGGAAACUGAGGCCAGAGAGGGGACAAGUCAGAGGACAUGCUGAAGAAGACCUGGGAGUGGAACAGACACCCAGGAUGCAUGAAAUCAAGUCUGAUGCCCUUGCCAAGUGCUCCCCAAGUCCCUGGGGAGCCA
This 238-nucleotide long non-coding RNA is filed under the name Homo sapiens (human). Its description in RNAcentral is "HSALNT0215767". Lineage: Eukaryota; Metazoa; Chordata; Mammalia; Primates; Hominidae. The record is from RNAcentral.